Molecule: ribosomal RNA, 253 nt
Filed under: uncultured bacterium
Lineage: Bacteria
Description: partial 16S ribosomal RNA
Rfam family: Bacterial small subunit ribosomal RNA
Source: RNAcentral
GACGGGGGGUCCUAGCGUUGCUCGGAAUCAUUGGGCGUAAAGCGGGCGUAGGCGGCCUUGUAAGUCAGGAGUGAAAGCCCUGGGCUCAACCCAGGAAGUGCUUUUGAUACUGCAAGGCUUGAGUGUGGGAGAGGGUCGUGGAAUUCCUGGUGUAGUGGUGAAAUACGUAGAUAUCAGGAGGAACACCGGUGGCGAAGGCGGCGGCCUGGCCCAACACUGACGCUGAAGUCCGAAAGCGUGGGGAUCAAACAGG